UUAUGCAAAGCUAGCUCUCUGCAACUCUCACUUGGUCACCCACUGAAGCUAAGCAGGGCUGUGGCCGGUCAGAACCUGGAUGGGAGACCUUAUGGGAAAGCUAUGUUGCUGCCAAAA
This 117-nucleotide ribosomal RNA is filed under the name Danio rerio (zebrafish). Lineage: Eukaryota; Metazoa; Chordata; Actinopteri; Cypriniformes; Danionidae. The record is from RNAcentral.